CUGGAACCUUCCGUAGUACGCACUGUUUGGUGCUCCGGAGCCGCUGCUGGGAAACCGAGGAAUAUGGAAUUUUAAAGCAUUUCCCUACUAGGCUCCAUUUGGUAUAUCAAACUAUGUCUGUCAGUGCUCACUUGAAGCAUUAUGAGGUCAUUGCAGCAGUGCACUGCUCUACUGUUGCCUUCACCAUCUGCAUGGUACUUCAGUCAAGCACAUUAGGAGCAAAACCAGAUGUGGCCCAGCGUUGCUCUGCAGGAUUUAAAGAUGAAUGAUCAGCACAAUAAUUGAGGAAGUGAUUGUGGCAAUCUGUUUACCAAGGAGAAGCAGUAGUGUUAAAGAGAGGGUCUCAACAGUUACAUCAUUUUCUGUUGCUGCUUCUGACCUGGCACUGGCCUUCACCAAACCAUAUGGUACGGCAACCCAUGAAACUGCCUGGAAAGCAGCUGAAAUUGUACAGCAGCAGCAACAACAAAUAGUUUUCAGCACAUACAGAGUCUGAUCCAGUUCACCAUGUAACUACAUAAACCCUAGAUAAUAAACCCUAGACUUGGCAUGU
Non-coding RNA from Meleagris gallopavo (turkey), 553 nucleotides. The record is from RefSeq and is a predicted model, not a curated record. Lineage: Eukaryota; Metazoa; Chordata; Aves; Galliformes; Phasianidae.